Molecule: long non-coding RNA, 230 nt
Filed under: Elaeis guineensis (African oil palm)
Lineage: Eukaryota; Viridiplantae; Streptophyta; Magnoliopsida; Arecales; Arecaceae
Description: long non-coding RNA (EGUI_LNC062190)
Source: RNAcentral
AAUGCUUCCAAAUGAUGUUUGCUUCUUUUAAUUUCAUUUUUUUCAAACUUCGGCAUCCUAAACUUAUAUUUCUUGAUCUCAAUGCCUCCAAUAUACUUCAAAAACUUCUCUAAUCAUUAAGUUUGCCUCUUCUAGGCUUCUCCAAGUCGAGGUCAAUUUUCAUCAUUAUUUUGAUUAACUCUUUACUUAUAUUAUGUAACGUUGUGAUAGUUAUCAUAGGCAGUUUCGUG